GGGCCUUGCGCUAUCAGAUGAGCCUAGGUCGGAUUAGCUAGUUGGUGGGGUAAUGGCUCACCCAGGCGACGAUCCGUUACUGGUCUGAGAGGAUGAUCAGUCACACUGGAACUGAGACACGGUCCAGACUCCUACGGGAGGCAGCAGUGGGGAAUAUUGGACAAUGGGCGAAAGCCUGAUCCAGCCAUGCCGCGUGUGUGAAGAAGGUCUUCGGAUUGUAAAGCACUUUAAGUUGGGAGGAAGGGCAGUAAGCUAAUACCUUGCUGUUUUGACGUUACCGACAGAAUAAGCACCGGCUAACUCUGUGCCAGCAGCCGCGGUAAUACAGAGGGUGCAAGCGUUAAUCGGAAUUACUGGGCGUAAAGCGCGCGUAGGUGGUUUGUUAAGUUGGAUGUGAAAGCCCCGGGCUCAACCUGGGAACUGCAUCCAAAACUGGCAAGCUAGAGUACGGUAGAGGGUGGUGGAAUUUCCUGUGUAGCGGUGAAAUGCGUAGAUAUAGGAAGGAACACCAGUGGCGAAGGCGACCACCUGGACUGAUACUGACACUGAGGUGCGAAAGCGUGGGGAGCAAACAGGAUUAGAUAC
RNAcentral lists this ribosomal RNA (585 nucleotides) under uncultured Pseudomonas sp. Its description in RNAcentral is "bacterial SSU rRNA". It matches the Rfam family "Bacterial small subunit ribosomal RNA", at positions 208 to 785 of the family's 1533-position model. Lineage: Bacteria; Pseudomonadati; Pseudomonadota; Gammaproteobacteria; Pseudomonadales; Pseudomonadaceae. The record is from RNAcentral.